UACGAAGGGGGCUAGCGUUGUUCGGAAUCACUGGGCGUAAAGGGCGCGUAGGCGGCUUUUCAAGUCGGGGGUGAAAGCCUGUGGCUCAACCACAGAAUUGCCUUCGAUACUGUUAGGCUUGAGACCGGAAGAGGUGAGUGGAACUGCGGGUGUAGAGGUGAAAUUCGUAGAUAUUCGCAAGAACACCAGUGGCGAAGGCGGCUCACUGGUCCGGUUCUGACGCUGAGGUGCGAAAGCGUGGGGAGCAAACAGG
This 253-nucleotide ribosomal RNA is filed under the name uncultured bacterium. RNAcentral's name for it is "partial 16S ribosomal RNA". It matches the Rfam family "Bacterial small subunit ribosomal RNA", at positions 524 to 776 of the family's 1533-position model. The record is from RNAcentral.